AUUGAACGCUGGCGGCAGGCCUAACACAUGCAAGUCGAGCGGAAACGAGUUAACUGACCCUUCGGGUGACGUUAACGGCGUCGAGCGGCGGACGGGUGAGUAAUGCCUGGGAAAUUGCCCUGAUGUGGGGGAUAACCAUUGGAAACGAUGGCUAAUACCGCAUAAUGCCUUCGGGCCAAAGAGGGGGACCUUCGGGCCUCUCGCGUCAGGAUAUGCCCAGGUGGGAUUAGCUAGUUGGUGAGGUAAUGGCUCACCAAGGCGACGAUCCCUAGCUGGUCUGAGAGGAUGAUCAGCCACACUGGAACUGAGACACGGUCCAGACUCCUACGGGAGGCAGCAGUGGGGAAUAUUGCACAAUGGGCGCAAGCCUGAUGCAGCCAUGCCGCGUGUGUGAAGAAGGCCUUCGGGUUGUAAAGCACUUUCAGCAGUGAGGAAGGCGGGUACGUUAAUAGCGUGCUCGUUUGACGUUAGCUGCAGAA
Molecule: ribosomal RNA, 479 nt
Filed under: uncultured bacterium
Lineage: Bacteria
Description: bacterial SSU rRNA
Rfam family: Bacterial small subunit ribosomal RNA
Source: RNAcentral